RNAcentral lists this ribosomal RNA (107 nucleotides) under Cavia porcellus (domestic guinea pig). Lineage: Eukaryota; Metazoa; Chordata; Mammalia; Rodentia; Caviidae. The record is from RNAcentral.
GUCUACGGCCAUACCACCCUGAAUGCGCCCGAUCUCGUCUGAUCUCGGAAGCUAAGCAGGGUCAGGCCUGGUUAGUACUUAGAUGAGAAAGCCUAGCUCUAAACACC